CCUACGGGUGGCAGCAGUGGGGGAUAUUGCACAAUGGGGGGAACCCUGAUGCAGCGACGCCGCGUGGGUGAAGAAGCGCCUCGGCGCGUAAAGCCCUGUCAGCAGGGAAGAAAAUGACGGUACCUGAAGAAGAAGACCCGGCUAACUACGUGCCAGCAGCCGCGGUAAUACGUAGGGGGCAAGCGUUAUCCGGCUUUACUGGUUGUAAAGGGGGCGCAGACGGCGAUGAAACCCAGGGGUGAAAGCCCGGGGCGCAACCCCGGGACUGCUCUUGGAACUGCAUGGCUGGAGUGCAGGAGGGGCAGGCGGAAUUCCUGGUGUAGCGGUGAAAGGCGUAGAUAUCAGGAGGAACACCGGUGGCGAAGGCGGCCUGCUGGACUGCAACUGACGUUGAGGCCCGAAAGCGUGGGGAGCAAACAGGAUUAGAUACCCGUGUAGUC
RNAcentral lists this ribosomal RNA (440 nucleotides) under uncultured bacterium. Its description in RNAcentral is "partial 16S ribosomal RNA". It matches the Rfam family "Bacterial small subunit ribosomal RNA", at positions 338 to 795 of the family's 1533-position model. The record is from RNAcentral.